CAAUGGCUUUAGUGGCGGACUGGUGAGUAACGCGUGAGCAACCUGCCUACUAGAGGGGAAUAACAGUGAGAAAUCAUUGCUAAUACCGCAUAUGCCAUGAACAUCACAUGAUGAAAGUGGGAAAAGAGUAAUCUGCUAGUAGAUGGGCUCGCGUCUGAUUAGAUAGUUGGUGGGGUAACGGCCUACCAAGUCGACGAUCAGUAGCCGGACUGAGAGGUUGAACGGCCACAUUGGGACUGAGAUACGGCCCAGACUCCUACGGGAGGCAGCAGUCGGGAAUAUUGCGCAAUGGAGGAAACUCUGACGCAGUGACGCCGCGUAUAGGAAGAAGGUUUUCGGAUUGUAAACUAUUGUCGUUAGGGAAGAUACAAGACAGUACCUAAGGAGGAAGCUCCGGCUAACUACGUGCCAGCAGCCGCGGUAAUACGUAGGGAGCAAGCGUUAUCCGGAUUUAUUGGG
RNAcentral lists this ribosomal RNA (459 nucleotides) under uncultured bacterium. RNAcentral's name for it is "bacterial SSU rRNA". It matches the Rfam family "Bacterial small subunit ribosomal RNA", at positions 84 to 558 of the family's 1533-position model. The record is from RNAcentral.